CAUCCUUCUGGGACAGACAUUCCUAGACUGGCCUAGCAUUCAUAAAUAUCUGACUCCCAUCAUGACUCUAUUCACUUCAGGGUGUGGUGAUAGUAAUUCAGUGGUGUGUAAGGCUUCUCUGUGAUGCCCUUUGAUGUCUGUUGAUAUUACAGAGAAGUUGCCAUUGACACCGUCGGUGGCUGGCAGGUUACCAACACGAGGGAAGGAAACAGGAAGCUCUUCUGAGUGGACCAGAUGUGAAUCGGAAGUCCAUCUUAGUGACGCCGUUCUAUCAACAGCUGACCAGGCCUUCAUCACAAAGAAUCAUUGGUCUGGUUCAAGGCCCCUGGUCUCUGCUACACCAUCAAUGCUGGGCCCUCAUUGGGACUCUUCCUGGACACCCUGUUGCUGUCCUGUGUGGUGGAAAUCCUGCAGCCCUGGAUUCAUAGGACUGACCGCCUCCCCCACCAUGCUCCAGGAGAUCACAGAUGGGGUGGAUGUUGGGGUGGACAACACAUAACUCUGGUUCUGGGCUAAGUAGUAGCAGAGUUGGUCAGCUUGCCAGCUCUCCCCUUCUUCGCUACCAAGGGAGGACAUGGACAUGACCAACCUACUAGUGGUCACAGACCCAAAGAGGAGUGACUUUCUCUCCCCUAAGCGUCCAUCAACUGACAACAACUCUUCAGCUAAAGUGAAAUGGAACCAAGCUGUCCAUCCAGUGUCAUUGGCAUGAAUGGUCUCAGCACAAUCUCCUUCAGUGCAGAUGUGUCACAGUGCACAGCCAACUCUGAAAGCCAGCUGAAGAUUUGGACAAAUAGAGAAAUUAGGUCACCUUCACCUCCUGCUCCUAUGGUAGAAUAUUAUUUUAAGGUGUGUGACUUUUGUUUAUGCUGCAUUUGUUUAACUCUGUGAAACUGUGUUACCGUGCCUGUUCAAUACACCUGGUCAUCCUAAUAAAGAGCCAAACAGGCAAUAGUGAGGCAGGCGCAAGGAUAGGUGGGGCUGGCAGGCAGAGAGGAUAAAUAAAAGGAGAAACAAAUAAGCAAGCAGCAG
Molecule: long non-coding RNA, 1032 nt
Filed under: Cricetulus griseus (Chinese hamster)
Lineage: Eukaryota; Metazoa; Chordata; Mammalia; Rodentia; Cricetidae
Description: lncRNA (ENSCGRG00015037430.1)
Source: RNAcentral